UACGGGGGGAGCAAGCGUUGUUCGGAUUUACUGGGCGUAAAGGGCGCGUAGGCGGUCGUGACAAGUCACUUGUGAAAUCUCCGGGCUUAACUCGGAAAGGUCAAGUGAUACUGUCGGACUAGAGUGCAGAAGGGGCAACUGGAAUUCUCGGUGUAGCGGUGAAAUGCGUAGAUAAUCGAGAGGAACACCGGUGGCGAAGGCGGGUCUCUGGGCAACAACUGACGCUGAGGAGCGAAAGCGUGGGGAGCGAACAG
RNAcentral lists this ribosomal RNA (254 nucleotides) under uncultured bacterium. RNAcentral's name for it is "partial 16S ribosomal RNA". It matches the Rfam family "Bacterial small subunit ribosomal RNA", at positions 524 to 775 of the family's 1533-position model. The record is from RNAcentral.